CUACCACACCUUCUCUUAACGGCUAUGAUUGACCCCCCAACAACCGGAAAUUGACAGAAGAAAAAUAUCAAAAAGAAAUCCCGACCCAGAUUUGAAGCUAAGAGUCUGAAUUCUUGAUGGGCUCUCGUCCAUUCAGACACACAUACACAUAAAGAUUGUGUGUGUGUUUUCUUGUUUUUUGGGACAUGAGCCUCCUGCGAAGAUCUUCCCCUCAAGUUCAAUUAUUUACUAAAAGGUCCUUCAAAUCUCUGAAAUUUCCUGGUGAAUCUCUCGAUGAAAUCAGCUCUCCUUCUCUCAUCCAUGGCAGUCACGUUUUCCAUUGCCCAGAUGAGGUGGGAAUUGUGGCAAAGUUGUCGGAAUGCAUAGCUUCAAGAGGUGGCAAUAUUCUCAAUGCUGAUGUUUUCGUGCCGGAGAAAAAGAAUGUCUUUUACUCAAGAAGUGCACUCAGUUGUUAGAUGUGAACAUGUGCCAAUGUAAACAACAAAGGAUAGCACUCGUUCAUAUUCAUCCAUCUCGUACCCUGGUCUAAUGCACUGGUGGUCUGGGACUAGCGUAGAGUCUUCCAAGUAUGCAGGUAGGCAGUACAUUCAGUGUGGUGUGUUCGUCUUUUGCAUCCGUGCAGUGUUGUGGAUUUUGGUUAUAUCCAGUAUCCAAAUAGUGCAGUAUGAAAAUAAGAUUUGUUCAUUCUUGCUUAUUUAGGAGUUCAUAAACCUGAUUUAUUAUCAAUUUAUAUUUAAAUAAUUGAUUAAGAACAACUGCCAAGCAGUUGUCUUGGGCAGCUCAUUUACCCUAUAUGAAGCAUUGGAAAACACAAUAGUGGAGUUCAUAUUUGGGCAGGGUGUUACCCUCUUGAUACCAACGGUGAUAUAGCUAUUUGAAUAUGCAAUUAUAGUGGAGGUGGAAAAUUCUUUAUUCAAAAUGCUUAACAUUUAAACAUUGAUCACACAAAAUCAUAAUGUACCACUGUAACGAAAGGGAGAAGUUCGAGGUGGGAAAAACACCUUGGAUUGGACAAACAGGCCAGCUAGUUCGGUCCAGUUCUAAAGAGAUAAAAAUGAAAUUUCAAUUCUGUACCAAUGAGUACCAGCCAGUUCAGUCUAGUUCAUUUGGGGCUUAACAUAUAAUCGUUGAUCAAAAUCUAUACAAAAUCAUAAUGAACCAUCGUAUCGAAUGGGAUAAGUUGGGGGGUGGGGGAACUCCCUAGAUUGAAUGAACUGGCCAGCCAGUUAGGUCUUGUUCCAAAUAAACAAAAAUGAAAUUUCAAUUAUGUACCUACGAGUACUAGCCAGUUUUGUCUAGUUAAUUUGGUGUUCACAAAUGGUUUAUGUGGAGGGUUUAUAAAGACAAUCUUGAGUAAUGCCAGUUAAUUUAUAAGAAGAUGAAAAUGGAUGAGAACGUAUUUGUGGUGUGAACCUGAGAAUGCUCUUCAUAAAGUUAAAGUUUCCUUCAAAUAUGUAGGUAUGGUCACUGAAGCUUCUCGGUUUUGUUUUUGGCUUAGGGAGUAUAUCAAAUGUUUUCAAGAGAAAACGUAGUGUGUUUUCUCUUUAUACCUGUCGGAUUUUAUGGAGGAAAAAUAGAAUUUCUAAUGGGAGAAAGGCUUUAUGAAACAUAUAAUCAUUGAUCAAAACUUGCACAAAAUCAUAUCGAACGAUCAUAACGAAUGGGAGAAGUUAGGGGUGGGAAAAACUCCCAGGAUUUGAUGAACCGGCCAGCUAGUUAGAUCUAGUUCCAAAGAAACAAAAAUGAAAUUUCAAUUCUGUGCCAUCGAGUACCAGCUGGUUUAAUCUAGUUCAUUUGGUGUUCUCAAAUGGUUUUCGUGGAGGGGUUUAUAAAGACAAUUCCGAGUAAUGCAAAUUGAUUUAUAAAGAAGAUGGAAUUAGAUUAGAUCGUCAUUGUGGAUUGUACUGGAGAAUGCUCUUCAUAAACUAAAAAAUGUUUCCUUCAGGCAGGUAGGUAUGGGCACUGAAGCUUCUUGGUUUUGUUUUUGGCUUAGGGAGUAUAUCAAAUGCUUUCAAGAGACAAUGUUGUGAGUUUUCUUUAUGUACCUAUCGGAUUUUAUGGAGGAAAAAUAGAAUUUCUAAACAGGAGAAAGGCUUUAUAGAAACACAUAAUCAUUGAUUUAAACUUGGCACAAAAUCAUAAUGAACCAUCAUGUCUAAUGGAAGAAGUUAGGGGUAGGAAAAACUCCCUAGAUUGGACAAACCGGCUAGCCAGUUAGGUCCUGUUCCAAAGAAACAAACAUGAACCUAUCAAUUUUGUGCCAAUGAGUACCAUCCAAUUCAGUCUAGUUCAUUUGCUGCUCUCAAAUGGUUUUCGUGGAGGGUUUAUGAAGACAGUAUUGAGCAAUGCCAAUUGAUUUAUAGGGAAGAUGAAAAUGGAUGAGAACGUUAUUGUGGUUUGAACUGAAGAAUGCCCUUCAUAAACUUAAUAAAAUUUCCUUCAGCGGCAAGUAUGGGCACUAAAGCUUCUUGGUUUUGUUUAUGGCUUAGGGAGCAUAUCAAAUGCUUUCAAGAGAAACAUAGUGAGUUUUCUCUUUAUACGCGUCGGAUUUUGUGGAGGAAAAAUAUAGUUCCUAAAUAAGAAAAAGGCUUUAUGGAAUUUGUAGUGAGUUCCGCCAUCACUUAUGAUGGCUCUUGGUGAUCUAUAGCGGUUGAAUAUAUGUUUCUUUGUAAAAUCUACCACCACCCUUGCAUCAUUGGUGGGCAAUGCCUUGGCUUCUACCCAUUUGGAGACAUAAUCCACUGUCACUAUAAUAUAUCAAUUGUUAUAGGACAAACGGAAAAAGUCCCAUAAAAUCAAUUCCCCAUAAAUCAAAUAUUUCCACCUCUAGAAUAUUGUUUAUGGCAUCUCGUAACGGUUCGAUAUGUUACCUAUUCUUUGACACUUAUCACAUGAUCUACAGAAGCUGUGGCAGUCCCUAAACAAUGUUGCCAAAAGAAACUGCAUUGGAGUACCUUUCCUGCUAUUUUAGUAUAGCUAAGUGUCCUCCAUAAAUUGAAGCAUGACCCUUGAAAGGAUUAGAUUUCAUCUUAUCCUUUGGCACACUUUCUGAUAAUUUAGUUUACUCUUCUUCUGUAUAAAUUUAGAUAAUCUCAAUAAUAUAAUUUAGCUUUAUGUAGAAGCUUUUUCUCCGGUCUGGAUCCACAUAGCCACUAUCUAAGUAGUUGACAAUGUCUGCAUACCAUAGUGUUUUAUCCAUCUCAUUGAUGUCCAUCUGUCUCAUUCGACUACUCUAGCCUCGACAAGUGAUCUGCUACUUGGUUUUCUUUCCCAUUUUAUCAUGAAUUUCAAUAUCAAACCUAUUCUUUGACACUUAUCACAUGAUCUAUAGAAACUGUGGCAGUCCCUAAACAAUGUUGCCAAAAGAAACUGCAUUGGAGUACCUUUGCUGCUAUUUUAGUAUAGCUAAGUGUCCUCCAUAAACUGAAGCAUGACCCUUGAAAGGAUUAGAUUUCAUCUUAUCCUUUGGCACACUUUCUGAUAAUUUAGUUUGCCCUUCUUCUGUAUAAAUUUGGAUAAUCUCAAUAAUAUAAUUUAGCUUUAUUUAGAAGCUUUUUCUCCUGAUAAUAAGUAAGGUCUGGAUCCACAUAGCCACUAUCUAAGUAGUUGACGAUGUCUGCAUACCAUAGUGCUUUAUCCAUCUCAUUGAUGUCCAUCUGUCUCUUUCGACUGCUCUAGCCUCGACAAGUGAUCUGCUACUUGGUUUUCUUUCCCAUUUUAUCAUGAAUUUCAAUAUCAAACUCUUAUAGUAAUAGAACCUAUCGAAUUAGCCUGAGUUUCACAUCCUUCUUCUCUGUCACGAUUUGGAAAAGAAUAAUGGAGAGAAGAAGUUAGAUUUUUUCCUCCCCUCUAAUUUCAUUAUAUAGAAAAAUAACAAGAGUACAUGUUUGAUUACUUGGUACAAGAAUGGAAACAUGGAAACACAAUAAACUUUAGCUAUUCCCAAUUGACGUGAUUUACUUCCUUAACGCUCCCUCUUAUGCUGGAGCAUAUACAUCAUAUAAGCCCAAUUUGGGACAAAGAAACUUCAACCGAUUACUAUUCAACGACUUUGUAAACAUAAGAGCAAGCUGGUCUCCUGUCUUAACAAAUGGUGUACAUAUAUCACCACUCACUGUUUUGUCCAGGACAAAGUGACAAUCAAUUUCAAUAUGUUUGGUCCUCUCAUGAAAGACUAGAUUUGAUGUAAUAUGUAAAGCAACAUUAUUACAAAACAUUGGAAUAGGAGUGGAAGGUGAGAGAUUGAUUUCUUGAAGAAAGUGCUGCAACCAUGUCAACUCGCUAGUAGUAUGACCUAUCACCUUAUAUUCUACUUCUGUACUUGACCUUGUUACUAUAGUUUGUUUCUUA
Olea europaea var. sylvestris is the source of this 4350-nucleotide long non-coding RNA. RefSeq lists it as uncharacterized. The record is from RefSeq and is a predicted model, not a curated record. NCBI's taxonomy places the organism in Eukaryota, Viridiplantae, Streptophyta, Magnoliopsida, Lamiales, Oleaceae. The transcript has 3 exons.